AAUACCUUAAGGAUGUCUAUUUUAACUCUUAGUAUUAAUGUCUAAAUCAGCAUUUGGGAAACCCCCCAGUCAUACCAUAUGGCAGUUCAGAUCUAUCCUGCAGUGACUCACGUCUUUUCUGGUGCAACCCAAUGUUUUCAGACUAUUAUGGAGUUUGCAAAGAAUAUCCAACUCAAACAGGAUCUUUACAAGAAAUAUACCAGAUUAAGUACGAACGGCAAGAACGAACAGAAGUCCACCUCAAGCCCAUUCGUUGAGAACAGCCGUCCGCUCUGAAGCGGGCACAGUCCACGCACGUGCCUGAAGCGAGAGCUGAGCCGUCCAAUCAAAUUGGGUGUAAUCUUGUGAUUAAACACUGCAGAUUUUUCAGAAUGCCAAAGACAUCUGCAUUUCCCCCAUGUUUAUUCUUUCGAUGUCACAUCUACACUGCUAGCCUGACUUCCUUCACAGUUUAAAAAUAUAAAAUUAAAGAAAAAGAAAUACAGCUCCGAGUGUGAACCACAGCCGCAUAACUAAGGGUGGGGCAAAGGCUUACCUGAGUAGCACUAGGAAUCAGGACAUAAGGAAGACAGAGCAGCAAAUCUCAACCAUGACCCCA
RNAcentral lists this long non-coding RNA (598 nucleotides) under Equus caballus (horse). RNAcentral describes it as "lncRNA (ENSECAG00000055857.1)". Lineage: Eukaryota; Metazoa; Chordata; Mammalia; Perissodactyla; Equidae. The record is from RNAcentral.